Molecule: non-coding RNA, 113 nt
Organism: Vigna radiata var. radiata (mung bean)
Lineage: Eukaryota; Viridiplantae; Streptophyta; Magnoliopsida; Fabales; Fabaceae
Source: Rfam
AUCGAUGUUGUUAUUUUUGCAUUUCAUUUUGUAUGUUUUUCCUCUACAGCUCUCUUUUAUUGGAGAAAAAAAGUGGAUUAUGUUCUUUUCAAUCAAAGGGAGUUGUAGGGGAA